UACAGAGGGUGCGAGCGUUAAUCGGAAUUACUGGGCGUAAAGCGCACGUAGGUGGCGACGUAAGUCGGGUGUGAAAGCCCCGGGCUCAACCUGGGAAUUGCAUUCGAGACUGCAUUGCUGGAGUACGGAAGAGGAGGGCGGAAUUCCCGGUGUAGCGGUGAAAUGCGUAGAUAUCGAGAGGAACACCUGCGGCGAAGGCGGGUUGCUGGGCCGACACUGACGCUGAUGCGCGAAAGCCAGGGGAGCGAACGGG
This 253-nucleotide ribosomal RNA is filed under the name uncultured bacterium. Its description in RNAcentral is "partial 16S ribosomal RNA". It matches the Rfam family "Bacterial small subunit ribosomal RNA", at positions 524 to 776 of the family's 1533-position model. The record is from RNAcentral.